AGAGAAUCAAAUAGCGGGUCUCUCUGUAGCUGCGACUACCUUAGAUAUUGAGCUACACUACAGUAGAUUCUAGAAUGACUCAAGAUUUGAAGAGAAAAGAGACCACAAUUGAAGAUGAUAUUGAAGAGUGUGGCAGCUUGCAAGAAAGGCCAACUAAGAAGGGAAAAACACGUCAAUUUGCUUCAAUGCCGAUUGAUACUUUUCUUCAACUUAACAAUGAACCUGAUGGUGAAGAGCAAUUGGAUGAGAAUGAAGGAGAUAUUAUAGAGGAGCAGGACAAGGAUUAUAUUAAUCCAACUGAGGCUGAGAACAUAGACAAUACUUUGAAAGACAACAGUGAAGAAAACACGAGGUCCUACACAAUGCUUGAAGAUUCAUGCAAGAUAGUUGGAAGAUAGAGAAGAAAUUACUCUAGAUAUUGAAGGGGAGGCAAUUGGUCCUACUGAUGAAGCUGUAAAUAACUUGAGCAAAUUUUUUGGCACAGUGGCAAGGAAUUCAGAUUUUUGUCCAUUAAUUUACACAAAUUAGAAGGGGAUUAAAGAUAAAGAAGCCAUUUGGGAAUAUGUUCAAGGUAAGUUCAUUAUUCCAACUGAAGGAAAGAGGAUAGUCCUUGCUCGUAUCAAUGACAACUGGAGACGGUAUAAGACCACAAUCAAGCAAAAUCAUUUUCUGCCAUACAAAAGUGUUAACGAAAUGCUGAAAAAUCGUCCUAAAAGCAUACCUGAGAGUCAUUUUCGCAAGUUGAUUGCUUAUUGGAGAACUGAGAAAGUUAAGAAAAUGUCUGCGCAGAAUAAGAAAAAUAGGGCACAACAGAAAUUUAGCCAUCGAAAGGGACCAAUAAAUUUUGCAAGAAUACGUGCAAGAUUGGCUGCUUCUAAGGAAAAUAAUGAACCACCUACUCAAGCAGAAAUGUUUGUUGAGACUCGCCAAAGCACAAAGGGAAAAUCAUUGGAUGAAGACACUUUGGAUGUUAUUGUAAGUAUUGGGAGUUAA
Molecule: non-coding RNA, 993 nt
Organism: Arachis ipaensis
Lineage: Eukaryota; Viridiplantae; Streptophyta; Magnoliopsida; Fabales; Fabaceae
Source: RefSeq, a predicted model, not a curated record